This 482-nucleotide ribosomal RNA is filed under the name uncultured Corynebacterium sp. RNAcentral describes it as "bacterial SSU rRNA". It matches the Rfam family "Bacterial small subunit ribosomal RNA", at positions 8 to 507 of the family's 1533-position model. The record is from RNAcentral. Lineage: Bacteria; Bacillati; Actinomycetota; Actinomycetes; Mycobacteriales; Corynebacteriaceae.
AGAGUUUGAUCCUGGCUCAGGAUGAACGCUGGCGGCGUGCUUAACACAUGCAAGUCGAACGGAAAGGCCCAAGCUUGCUUGGGUACUCGAGUGGCGAACGGGUGAGUAACACGUGGGUGAUCUGCCCUGCACUUCGGGAUAAGCCUGGGAAACUGGGUCUAAUACCGGAUAGGACCACUUCGUAGUUGUUGUGGUGGAAAGUUUUUUCGGUGUGGGAUGAGCUCGCGGCCUAUCAGCUUGUUGGUGGGGUAAUGGCCUACCAAGGCGUCGACGGGUAGCCGGCCUGAGAGGGUGUACGGCCACAUUGGGACUGAGAUACGGCCCAGACUCCUACGGGAGGCAGCAGUGGGGAAUAUUGCACAAUGGGCGGAAGCCUGAUGCAGCGACGCCGCGUGGGGGAUGACGGCCUUCGGGUUGUAAACUCCUUUCGCCAAAGACGAAUUUUGACGGUAUUUGGAGAAGAAGCACCGGCUAACUACGUG